RNAcentral lists this Y RNA (103 nucleotides) under Microcebus murinus (gray mouse lemur). Its description in RNAcentral is "Y RNA (ENSMICG00000047858.1)". It matches the Rfam family "Y RNA". Rfam says of the family: Y RNAs are components of the Ro ribonucleoprotein particle (Ro RNP), in association with Ro60 and La proteins. The Y RNAs and Ro60 and La proteins are well conserved, but the function of the Ro RNP is not known. The record is from Rfam by way of RNAcentral. Lineage: Eukaryota; Metazoa; Chordata; Mammalia; Primates; Cheirogaleidae.
GGUUGGUCCGAAUAGCAGUGGUGUUUACAACUAAUUGAUCACAACCGGUUACAGAUUCCUUGGUUCCUUCUCCACUCCCACUGCUCCACUUGACCAGCCUUUA